UUAACAAUUAACCUAGACUUGUGCUAGUGAUGUUUAGCUCACCAGUUUCCAAAGGAAAAAUGAGCUUUUGCCAUUACUUGGCGUCCUUGUCGUCGUCCGUCUUGUGUAAAAUAUUUCAAACAUCUCCUUUGAAGCUACUGAACUAAAUCCAACCAAACUUCAGCUGAAUGAUCCUUAGGGUAUCUUAUAAAGUUUGUGUUUUAUAUACUGGUUCGUCAAAAAAUAAAGCAUUUAGAGCAAAUCUGACAAGGGAAAAUGUUCAUUUUAGGCAAGUUCUAUCAGCC
This 284-nucleotide long non-coding RNA is filed under the name Mytilus galloprovincialis (Mediterranean mussel). The record is from RNAcentral. Lineage: Eukaryota; Metazoa; Mollusca; Bivalvia; Mytilida; Mytilidae.